This 214-nucleotide unclassified non-coding RNA is filed under the name Hevea brasiliensis (rubber tree). Lineage: Eukaryota; Viridiplantae; Streptophyta; Magnoliopsida; Malpighiales; Euphorbiaceae. The record is from RNAcentral.
UUGCAUGAUAAUGGCCGUCUAUAUGUCAAUUUGAAAGUAUCCUCCUGCAUUAAGGUAGGUGGGAGAGUAAAAGCGUACAGUAGUUAGCAGUGAUCCUUGAAUGAUCAAAUGUCUGGUGUGGAUAUCUGUUUGCCUAUUGGAGUAGGAUCAUAAAUCAGAUGUGAGAACGCGAGGGAGCAUUGAUCCCUGUACUCGCUUGAAAGACUGUCACCCG